CUUAUUGCAGUAUGCAGGCUAU
Molecule: small nuclear RNA, 22 nt
Filed under: Arabidopsis thaliana (thale cress)
Lineage: Eukaryota; Viridiplantae; Streptophyta; Magnoliopsida; Brassicales; Brassicaceae
Description: snRNA_04560
Source: RNAcentral